RNAcentral lists this ribosomal RNA (468 nucleotides) under uncultured bacterium. RNAcentral's name for it is "partial 16S ribosomal RNA". It matches the Rfam family "Bacterial small subunit ribosomal RNA", at positions 28 to 507 of the family's 1533-position model. The record is from RNAcentral.
GACGAACGCUGGCGGCGUGCUUAACACAUGCAAGUCGAACGGAAAGGCCCUGCUUUUGUGGGGCGCUCGAGUGGAGCACGGGUGUGAAACACGUGUGUACCCUGCCCUUGAUUUUGGGAUGACUUGAGGACACUGGGGAAUAUACCGGAUAGGCGCUCCGGCUGCAUGGUGGGGGUUGGAAAGUUUCGGCGGAUGGGGAUGGACUCGCGGCUUAUCAGCUUGUUGGUGGGGUUGUGGUUUAAAAAGGCUGUGGCGGGUAGCCGGCCAGAGGUGGUGACCGGCCACAUUGGGACGGAGAUACCGCCCAGACUCCGGCGGGAGGCAGCAGUGGAGAUUAUUGCACAAGGGGCGGAAGCCUGAUGCAGCAACGCCGCGUGGGGGAUGACGUCCUGCUUGUAGUAACCCGUUUGCGCCGGUGACGAAGUGUUAGUGACGGUAGUGGUAAAAGAAGCACCGGCUAACUACGUG